This 470-nucleotide ribosomal RNA is filed under the name uncultured bacterium. RNAcentral's name for it is "partial 16S ribosomal RNA". It matches the Rfam family "Bacterial small subunit ribosomal RNA", at positions 28 to 506 of the family's 1533-position model. The record is from RNAcentral.
GACGAACGCUGGCGGCGUGCUUAACACAUGCAAGUCGAACGGAAAGGCCCUGCUUGCAGGGUGCUCGAGUGGCGAACGGGUGAGUAACACGUGGGUGAUCUGCCCCUUACUUUGGGAUAAGCCUGGGAAACUGGGUCUAAUACUGGAUAGGACCAUGCUGUAGGUGGUGUGGUGGAAAGAUUUUUUCGGUAAGGGAUGAGCUCGCGGCCUAUCAGCUUGUUGGUGGGGUAAUGGCCUACCAAGGCGUCGACGGGUAGCCGGCCUGAGAGGGUGGACGGCCACAUUGGGACUGAGAUACGGCCCAGACUCCUACGGGAGGCAGCAGUGGGGAAUAUUGCACAAUGGGCGCAAGCCUGAUGCAGCGACGCCGCGUGGGGGAUGACGGCCUUCGGGUUGUAAACUCCUUUCAGCCAUGACGAAGCCUCUUUUGGGGUGACGGGAGUGGUAGAAGAAGCACCGGCUAACUACGU